AACGAACGCUGGCGGCAGGCCUAACACAUGCAAGUCGAGCGCCCCGCAAGGGGAGCGGCGGACGGGUGAGUAACGCGUGGGAAUAUGCCCUUUGCUACGGAAUAGUCUCGGGAAACUGGGGGUAAUACCGUAUACGCCCUUUGGGGGAAAGAUUUAUCGGCGAAGGAUUAGCCCGCGUUGGAUUAGGUAGUUGGUGGGGUAAUGGCCUACCAAGCCGACGAUCCAUAGCUGGUUUGAGAGGAUGAUCAGCCACACUGGGACUGAGACACGGCCCAGACUCCUACGGGAGGCAGCAGUGGGGAAUCUUAGACAAUGGGGGCAACCCUGAUCUAGCCAUGCCGCGUGAGUGAUGAAGGCCUUAGGGUUGUAAAGCUCUUUCAGCUGGGAAGAUAAUGACGGUACCAGCAGAAGAAGCCCCGGCUAACUCCGCG
Molecule: ribosomal RNA, 431 nt
Filed under: uncultured bacterium
Lineage: Bacteria
Description: partial 16S ribosomal RNA
Rfam family: Bacterial small subunit ribosomal RNA
Source: RNAcentral